UGAUAAAAUUUUCUGCAUCAAAUGUACCAUGCAUCUCUAAUGGUUAUCAGAACCACCAUGUAUUCUACAGUUACACCACACAGUGUCCUGGAUAAUGGUAAAGUCUCUUGACUACCAUGAUAAAAUCCUCUGGUUACCAAAAUUUCAGAAUCAAUUGACUUACAAAUGCACUAUGCAUCUCUCAUGGUUAAGAACCACCAUGUAUUCUUGUAACACUACACAAUGUCCUGGAUAAUGGUUUAAGUCUCUUGACUACCAUGAUAAAAUUCUCUGGUUACCAAAGUUUCCAAAUCAAUUGACUUACAAAUGCAUCUACCAUGCAUCUCUCAAGGUUAAGAACCACCAUCCCUUCUGCAGUUCUACCAUGUUACGUCCUGGGUAAUGGUAAAGUCUCUUGACUGCCAUGAUAAAAUUCUCUGGUUUCCAAAAUUUCAGAAUCAUUUGGCUCACAAAUGCUAAACUAGCGAUAAGCUGUAAAGUUUAAGAGAGAAAUAAUGACCUCA
Molecule: non-coding RNA, 503 nt
Organism: Paramuricea clavata
Lineage: Eukaryota; Metazoa; Cnidaria; Anthozoa; Malacalcyonacea; Plexauridae
Source: the annotation of a GenBank genome assembly